This is a ribosomal RNA of 2562 nucleotides. The stretch from base 762 to 2562 matches the Rfam family "Bacterial large subunit ribosomal RNA".
GCUCGCGUUGACUUCGACAAGAUCGACAGCGCCCCGGAAGAGAAGGCUCGUGGUAUCACCAUCAACACUGCCCACGUAGAGUACGAUUCCAACAUUCGUCACUACGCGCACGUUGACUGCCCGGGUCACGCCGACUACGUGAAGAACAUGAUCACCGGUGCUGCCCAGAUGGACGGUGCGAUCCUGGUCUGCUCGGCUGCCGACGGCCCGAUGCCGCAAACUCGUGAGCACAUCCUGCUGUCCCGUCAGGUUGGCGUACCGUACAUCGUUGUCUUCCUGAACAAGGCUGACAUGGUUGACGACGCUGAGCUGCUGGAGCUGGUCGAGAUGGAAGUUCGCGACCUGCUGAGCACCUACGAUUUCCCGGGUGACGACACUCCGAUCAUCAUCGGCUCGGCGCUGAUGGCUCUGAACGGCCAGGACGACAACGAGAUGGGCACCACUGCCGUCAAGAAGCUCGUCGAGACUCUGGAUACCUAUAUCCCUGAGCCGGUUCGUGCCAUCGACAAGCCGUUCCUGAUGCCGAUCGAAGACGUAUUCUCGAUCUCCGGCCGCGGUACUGUAGUUACCGGUCGUGUAGAGCGCGGUAUCGUCCGUAUCCAGGAAGAAAUCGAAAUCGUUGGUCUGCGUCCGACCACCAAGACCACCUGCACCGGCGUUGAGAUGUUCCGCAAGCUGCUGGACGAAGGUCGUGCUGGUGAGAACUGCGGCGUGCUGCUGCGCGGCACCAAGCGUGAUGAAGUCGAGCGUGGUCAGGUUCUGGCCAAGCCGGGCACCAUCAAGCCGCACACCAAGUUCGAAGCUGAAGUGUACGUUCUGUCCAAAGAAGAAGGUGGUCGUCACACCCCGUUCUUCAAGGGCUACCGUCCUCAGUUCUACUUCCGCACCACUGACGUGACCGGUUCGUGCGAACUGCCGGAAGGCGUUGAGAUGGUAAUGCCGGGCGACAACAUCAAAAUGGUUGUCACCCUGAUCAAGCCGAUCGCCAUGGAAGAUGGCCUGCGUUUCGCGAGGCGAGGCAGAAAUGCGUAGUCGAUGGGAAACGGGUUAAUAUUCCCGUACUUCUAGUUACUGCGAUGGAGGGACGGAGAAGGCUAGGCCAGCACGGCGUUGGUUGUCCGUGUUUAAGGUGGUAGGCUGAGAUCUUAGGUAAAUCCGGGAUCUUAAGGCCGAGAGCUGAUGACGAGCGUUCUUUUAGAAUGCGAAGUGGUUGAUGCCAUGCUUCCAGGAAAAGCUUCUAAGCUUCAGGUAACUAGGAACCGUACCCCAAACCGACACAGGUGGUUAGGUAGAGAAUACCAAGGCGCUUGAGAGAACUCGGGUGAAGGAACUAGGCAAAAUGGCACCGUAACUUCGGGAGAAGGUGCGCCGGUGAGGGUGAAGUAUUUACUACGUAAGCCCAUGCCGGUCGAAGAUACCAGGCCGCUGCGACUGUUUAUUAAAAACACAGCACUCUGCAAACACGAAAGUGGACGUAUAGGGUGUGACGCCUGCCCGGUGCCGGAAGGUUAAUUGAUGGGGUUAGCGCAAGCGAAGCUCUUGAUCGAAGCCCCGGUAAACGGCGGCCGUAACUAUAACGGUCCUAAGGUAGCGAAAUUCCUUGUCGGGUAAGUUCCGACCUGCACGAAUGGCGUAACGAUGGCGGCGCUGUCUCCACCCGAGACUCAGUGAAAUUGAAAUCGCUGUGAAGAUGCAGUGUAUCCGCGGCUAGACGGAAAGACCCCGUGAACCUUUACUAUAGCUUUGCACUGGACUUUGAGCUUGCUUGUGUAGGAUAGGUGGGAGGCUUUGAAGUGGGGACGCCAGUUCUCAUGGAGCCAACCUUGAAAUACCACCCUGGCAACCUUGAGGUUCUAACUCUGGUCCGUUAUCCGGAUCGAGGACAGUGUAUGGUGGGUAGUUUGACUGGGGCGGUCUCCUCCCAAAGAGUAACGGAGGAGUACGAAGGUGCGCUCAGACCGGUCGGAAAUCGGUCGUAGAGUAUAAAGGCAAAAGCGCGCUUGACUGCGAGACAGACACGUCGAGCAGGUACGAAAGUAGGUCUUAGUGAUCCGGUGGUUCUGUAUGGAAGGGCCAUCGCUCAACGGAUAAAAGGUACUCCGGGGAUAACAGGCUGAUACCGCCCAAGAGUUCAUAUCGACGGCGGUGUUUGGCACCUCGAUGUCGGCUCAUCACAUCCUGGGGCUGAAGCCGGUCCCAAGGGUAUGGCUGUUCGCCAUUUAAAGUGGUACGCGAGCUGGGUUUAGAACGUCGUGAGACAGUUCGGUCCCUAUCUGCCGUGGACGUUUGAGAUUUGAGAGGGGCUGACCUUAGUACGAGAGGACCGGGUUGGACGAACCUCUGGUGUUCCGGUUGUCACGCCAGUGGCAUUGCCGGGUAGCUAUGUUCGGAAAAGAUAACCGCUGAAAGCAUCUAAGCGGGAAACUUGCCUCAAGAUGAGAUCUCACUGGAGCCUUGAGCUCCCUGAAGGGCCGUCGAAGACUACGACGUUGAUAGGUGGGGUGUGUAAGCGCUGUGAGGCGUUGAGCUAACCCAUACUAAUUGCCCGUGAGGCUUGACCAU